GACGAACGCUGGCGGCGUGCUUAACACAUGCAAGUCGAACGGAAAGGCCCUGCUUUUGUGGGGUGCUCGAGUGGCGAACGGGUGAGUAACACGUGAGUAACCUGCCCUUGACUUUGGGAUAACUUCAGGAAACUGGGGCUAAUACCGGAUAGGAGCUCCUGCUGCAUGGUGGGGGUUGGAAAGUUUCGGCGGCUGGGGAUGGACUCGCGGCUUAUCAGCUUGUUGGUGGGGUAGUGGCUUACCAAGGCUUUGACGGGUAGCCGGCCUGAGAGGGUGACCGGCCACAUUGGGACUGAGAUACGGCCCAGACUCCUACGGGAGGCAGCAGUGGGGAAUAUUGCACAAUGGGCGGAAGCCUGAUGCAGCAACGCCGCGUGCGGGAUGACGGCCUUCGGGUUGUAAACCGCUUUCGCCUGUGGCGAAGCGUGAGUGACGGUAAUGGGUAAAGAAGCGCCGGCUAACUACGUG
This 468-nucleotide ribosomal RNA is filed under the name uncultured bacterium. RNAcentral describes it as "partial 16S ribosomal RNA". It matches the Rfam family "Bacterial small subunit ribosomal RNA", at positions 28 to 507 of the family's 1533-position model. The record is from RNAcentral.